GAGAUCAUAGUCAACUAUGAUAUUUGAUUUGCACUCAUAAGGUGCUCCAAGGAGCUGAUCUUA
Molecule: transfer RNA, 63 nt
Filed under: Macrobrachium rosenbergii (giant freshwater prawn)
Lineage: Eukaryota; Metazoa; Arthropoda; Malacostraca; Decapoda; Palaemonidae
Description: tRNA-Ala
Source: RNAcentral